RNAcentral lists this ribosomal RNA (482 nucleotides) under uncultured bacterium. Its description in RNAcentral is "partial 16S ribosomal RNA". It matches the Rfam family "Bacterial small subunit ribosomal RNA", at positions 30 to 507 of the family's 1533-position model. The record is from RNAcentral.
AUUGAACGCUGGCGGCAUGCUUUACACAUGCAAGUCGAACGGCAGCGCGGGGCAACCUGGCGGCGAGUGGCGAACGGGUGAGUAAUAUAUCGGAACGUACCCAGAAGUGGGGGAUAACGUAGCGAAAGUUACGCUAAUACCGCAUACGAUCUACGGAUGAAAGUAGGGGACCGCAAGGCCUUAUGCUUUUGGAGCGGCCGAUAUCUGAUUAGCUAGUUGGUGAGGUAAAGGCUCACCAAGGCGACGAUCAGUAGCUGGUCUGAGAGGACGACCAGCCACACUGGAACUGAGACACGGUCCAGACUCCUACGGGAGGCAGCAGUGGGGAAUUUUGGACAAUGGGCGCAAGCCUGACCCAGCAAUGCCGCGUGAGUGAAGAAGGCCUUCGGGUUGUAAAGCUCUUUUGUCAGGGAAGAAACGGUAGAGGCUAAUAUCCUUUGCUAAUGACGGUACCUGAAGAAUAAGCACCGGCUAACUACGUG